Molecule: ribosomal RNA, 2529 nt
Filed under: Triticum aestivum (bread wheat)
Lineage: Eukaryota; Viridiplantae; Streptophyta; Magnoliopsida; Poales; Poaceae
Description: partial small subunit ribosomal RNA
Source: RNAcentral
AUGAGCUGUGCUGUGGAAAGAGGCAUCCAGCAUCCAUCCGCCAUGAGAGCUACCAGCCAACUGCCGGCACGUCUCCUACUGCAGCGGCUCUUGAUCUGCUUCUUCCUCCUUUCCAUCGCCGCCGGUGUCACUGACAAGCUCGAGAGGGGCCAGAAGCUCACCGAUGGCGACACGCUCGUCUCCGCCGGCGGCUCCUUCACCCUCGGGUUCUUCUCUCCCGGGGCGUCCACCAAGAGGUACCUCGGCAUAUGGUUCUCGGUGUCCAACGACACCGUCUGCUGGGUCGCCAACCGCGACAAGCCGCUCCUUGACAAGUCCGGCACGCUGGUGCUCAACGACGUCGGCAGCCUCGUCUUGGGGGACACCUCCCGCCGGGCCCGGACGGUCUGGUCUUCGAACUUCCUGCCCGCCUCUGCGGCGGCGGUUCAGCUUCUCGACUCCGGCAACCUGGUCGUGCGCAACGGCAGCAGCAACGCCUCCCUGUGGCAGUCGUUCGAUCAGCCGUCGGACACCUUGCUGCCCGGCAUGAAGCUGGGCAAGAACGUCUGGACCGGAGGCGAGUGGCAGCUCACGUCCUGGAGCUCCGCCGACGACCCGUCGCCGGGAGACUACCGCCGCACGCUGCAAACCACCGGGUUACCGGAGAUCAUCCUGUGGUACCACGACGUCAAAACGUACCGCACGGGCCCGUGGAACGGGAUCUACUUCAACGGCGUCCCGGAGGCGCGUGCGUACGCGGGCAAGUACCCGCUGCUGGUGACGAGCAGCCCGUGGGAGACCACCUACGGGUACACCGCCGCGCCCGGCGCGCCGCUGACCCGCGUCGUGGUGAACCACACCGGCAAGGCAGAGCGGCUGGAGUGGGACGCGAGCAGCCGGGAGUGGAACCGUAUAUUCCAGGGGCCGAGGGACCCGUGCGACGAGUACGGGAAGUGCGGUCCGUUCGGCCUCUGCGACCCCGAGGCGGCGUCGUCGGGGUUCUGCGGCUGUGUCGCCGGGUUCAGCGCCGCGAACACGUCGGCUCUGGUGGUGAAGGAUAACGCCGACGGGUGCCGACGAGCCGCCGCGCUGGAUUGUGCCGGCGGGACGACGACGGACGGGUUCAAGGUGGUGUCAGGGAUGAAGCUUCCCGACACGCAGAAUGCGUCGGUGGACAUGGGCGUCACGCUGGAGGAGUGCAGGGCGAGGUGCCUCGCCAACUGCUCCUGCUUGGCCUACGCCGCCGCCGAUAUUCGGGGAGGCGGCGAUGGCACCGGGUGCGUCAUGUGGGCGUAUGCCAUUGUUGAUCUACGCCUCGUCGACAGAGGGCAGAAUCUCUACCUGAGGCUGUCAAAAUCAGAAAUCGAUGGCCGUAAAAGGUUUCCUACACUACUUGUUGCCACAACUCUACCUUCUGCUGUGACUAUUCUUCUGGUCGUCUUUAUGAUUUGGUGGAGAAGGAAAAACAGAAUUAUAGGUGCUAUUCCUCGGAAUCCUACCAUGGCGGUUCCUUCAGUUAGUCUAGCAAUUAUAAAGGAUAUUACUAGAAAUUUCUCUAAAAGUAAUAUCAUCGGGCAGGGCGGAUUUAGCAUUGUUUACAAGGGACAGCUUCCUGAAGGAAGAACUAUUGCUGUCAAGAGGCUUAAACAAACGGCAUUGACAACAAAAGGCAAGAAUGAUUUCGCGAGAGAAGUGGAAGUGAUGGUUGGGCUUCGACAUGGUAGUCUUGUUUGUCUCCUCGCUUACUGUGAUGAAGGCAAGGAGCGGAUACUCAUCUACGAAUACAUGCAGAACAAGAGUCUGAACAUCUACAUAUUUGGCACACCUAAUCUUCGUGCUUCACUGGACUGGGUAAGAAGGUUAGAAUUACUACGCGAGAUCGCGCAUGGUGUUGCAUACCUCCACGCAGGAUCAGGCGAGAGUGUGAUCCACCGUGACCUUAAACCCGGGAACAUUCUUCUUGAUGAUGAGUGGAAGCCAAAAAUCGCUGACUUUGGCACCGCCAAACUGUUUGCGGAUAAUCGGACUGGGCACGAUCAAACAAUUGUUAUUUCUCCGGGAUACGCAGCUCCGGAGUAUGUGCGGGGAGGGGAGAUGACGCUGAAAUGCGACGUUUAUAGCUUUGGAGUUAUUCUUCUAGAGACUCUUAGCGGGCAAAGGAAUGGUAGCUUGCAAAGGCUUCUUUCCCAAGCCUGGGAACUGUGGGAGCAGAAUAGGAUCAUUGAACUUCUCGACAUGACAAUUGUGCCGCUCCCCAAGUCCGAGCCUGAGAUACUUCCUGAGCUAAAACGUUGUAUCCAAAUCGGGCUCCUCUGCGUCCAGGAGAUGCCAGAUGAUAGGCCAGCCAUGCCUGAAGUUGUGGCCAUGUUUACAAGCACAACAUCACAAAUUGAUUGGCCCAGAAGAUCGGUACUAGAUAGCAGAAUAGUCAUGCCUUUGAAUCUGUCCCUUGAACUUGACACUGAUCACUUGAACCCCACUGCAAUUGAGGUGAGAUCGCCAUCGAGUCGAUCCAGCUAUUGUUGUCUAGCUAGCAACCAAUCUAAUUAA